Molecule: ribosomal RNA, 450 nt
Filed under: uncultured bacterium
Lineage: Bacteria
Description: partial 16S ribosomal RNA
Rfam family: Bacterial small subunit ribosomal RNA
Source: RNAcentral
GUCGAGAAUAAUUCACAAUGGACGAAAGUCUGAUGGUGCAACGCCGCGUGGAGGAUGACGGUCUUCGGAUUGUAAACUCCUGUCAUCCGGGAGUAAGACCUGGCUGUGAAUAGCAGACAGGGUUGAUAGUACCGGAAGAGGAAGGGACGGCUAACUUCGUGCCAGCAGCCGCGGUAAUACGAAGGUCCCGAGCGUUGUUCGGAAUCACUGGGCGUAAAGGGAGCGUAGGCGGCGUGGUAAGUCAGAUGUGAAAUCCCGGGGCUCAACCCCGGAACUGCAUCCGAUACUGCCGUGCUAGAGGAUUGGAGAGGUAGCUGGAAUUCUUGGUGUAGCAGUGAAAUGCGUGGAGAUCAAGAGGAACACUCGUGGCGAAGGCGAGCUACUGGACAAUAUCUGACGCUGAGGCUCGAAGGCCAGGGUAGCGAAAGGGAUUAGAUACCCCUGUAGUCC